Molecule: long non-coding RNA, 1228 nt
Organism: Hordeum vulgare subsp. vulgare (domesticated barley)
Lineage: Eukaryota; Viridiplantae; Streptophyta; Magnoliopsida; Poales; Poaceae
Exons: 2
Source: RefSeq, a predicted model, not a curated record
UUUGCCCAUUAUACAAUGGUGUAAAAUUAUGUUGUACCAAAUUUAGGAUGACCUGUAUUUCUCCCAUAUAUAUUUUUCUAAAUCCAAAAGCUUAGAAUAGAGAUAAUAAAAACCAAAGAGUUAAAGUGUUAAAAUAGUAAGCCUGAGGGCUAAAUUACAAAGUCCAAAUAGUCUGAUGGUUCGAUUCACUUUUCUGCAGAUAACAGAAAAUGGAAGGACGAAUCUGAAGAACGGAAAAGAGAUAAGGUUUCUAUCCCUUCGUGUGUGAGUGUAUGGAUUGCAAUCGAUCUGAUUGAAUCCUUUGCUCCAAUUCAACGCAGAGACCAUCGCCUUGGAUCUGGUCGCCUCACACGCUGGACGGCGCCGCGCUGGAGUCGCCGCCACGCCUUGCUGCUAUGGGUUGGUCAUGGCCCUCGCCACCAGCACAGGUGUUGGUCGUGCGCCCACUUCCCGUAGCCGCUGAUGCUGGAGGGCGUCGUCAAGCCAGGCCACCGCCGCAGUCAGACAUGCCGAGGGAGGCCCGGUGCUUCCGCCGCACCUAGGCGGCACGCCGCCGCGAGGAGCCUUUCCGGGAGGAGCAGCGGUGCGGGCGGGUCGCCUCUGCGCCCGUGGGGGCUAGGCCGAUGGCCGAGCGCGGGGCGCAGGGCAUGCCAGGAGGAGUGGCCGCGCCUGGUGCUCGUCGUCCGGGCGCCAGAGGGCAAAGCCAAGGGCGUUAGUCUGCCCAUUGGACGUCGAUGAGACGCCUCGCUAAUGGAAGCAGGCGAGGCCGCUUGUUAGUUGAGCGCUGGAUGAGUUGCCGUCUCGAUGGGCAACGAUGAAAACAAGUACUCCAAUGCAUGUCUGUGAGGAGAUCGGCCUUGCUCCUAGCCGAGGACCGCUCCGGGAUGCAGGGCGUCUGAAACCGCGCUGGGAACAACAGUCGUCGAUGCGCCUCCGCGAACGGCGGGGAAACUGACUUCUAUCAGCGCGUCAUGCAGGAAAAUUCGAAGAGUUUACAAGCAACUCAGGUUAUUUGUCCGUGUGUGCAAGCAACUCAGGUUGGAUCGGACAAUGGGGCACCUUUUUCCCGGGAAGCUUCAUUUUCGCAAGUGCACUGUGGUCCAAAAUAGGAAGAUAUAGUCAGUGCAGCUGCACUACAAUCUACUCCAAUGAAGCUGUGUAUAUCACUCCACUCUUAAAUGCAACCGAUAUAGGGCAUCUCCAACAUCGGCCCGUAAAUUUCCUCCGA